UCAACGUUGGCGGCGUGCGUAACACAUGCAAGUCGAACGAUCCUUAAGUGGCUUGCCAUUUAAGGAGAGUGGCGAACGGGUGAGUAACACGUGAGUAAUCUACCCUCGAGUGCGGAAUAACUUCGCGAAAGCGGCGCUAAUACCGCAUAAAACUCUAAAGCACACGCUUCUAGAGUCAAAGCCUUCGGGUGCUUGAGGAUGAGCUUGCGCCAUAUUAGCUUGUUGGUGGGGUAAUGGCCUACCAAGGUUAUGAUGUGUAGCCGGCCUGAGAGGGUGUACGGCCACACUGGAACUGCGACACGGUCCAGACUCCUACGGGAGGCAGCAGUGGGGAAUUUUGCGCAAUGGGCGAAAGCCUGACGCAGCGACGCCGCGUGGAGGAUGACGGCCUUCGGGUUGUAAACUCCUGUCAGAGGUGAAGAAAACCCUUCGGGGUCUGACGGUAACCUCAGAGGAAGCCCCGGCUAACUAC
Molecule: ribosomal RNA, 472 nt
Filed under: uncultured bacterium
Lineage: Bacteria
Description: bacterial SSU rRNA
Rfam family: Bacterial small subunit ribosomal RNA
Source: RNAcentral